Molecule: ribosomal RNA, 116 nt
Filed under: Pteropus alecto (black flying fox)
Lineage: Eukaryota; Metazoa; Chordata; Mammalia; Chiroptera; Pteropodidae
Source: RNAcentral
GUCUACGGCCAUGCCACCCUGAAUAAGCCCGAUGUCUGAUCUUGGAAGCUAAGUAGGGUUGGGCCUGGUUAGUACUUAGAUGGGAGACCACCUAGGAAGACCAGGUGCUGUAGGCA